Molecule: long non-coding RNA, 775 nt
Filed under: Fukomys damarensis (Damara mole-rat)
Lineage: Eukaryota; Metazoa; Chordata; Mammalia; Rodentia; Bathyergidae
Description: lncRNA (ENSFDAG00000031818.1)
Source: RNAcentral
GAAUGAGGUCGCUAUGAGGAGCGGGGGACUAAACAGAGCUUCGGGGUCCUUGGGGACUUGUGCCUGGAGCUGGCACAUGGCGUCCACCACAGAGCCGUGUGGCAAGGCACUUCGCUCUCCGCGCCUCAGUUUUUCCACCGGCAAAGGGCAGAUCCAAUAGGCCUAUGGUGUGAGUUCAUUUUAGGAUCAAAUGAAAGAACAGCUCUGCAUAGUGCACAGAUCUGCAGACAGGCAGGGCCCACAGAAACCUCUCCGCCAGAAGCGGUGCGGGAAGAUGAGCAGAACUUCCCCUCACGCUGAUGCAGCGUCCCCCACCCCCGCCAACUCCGGCCUCCUUCCCUCCCCCAGGUCCAGUGGUACAGGAGGGAACCUGGGUCCCUGGUGGCUGGAGAGGGAGCAGGUGCAGGUCAGGGCGUGGCGCUCCUCAGACUCCUGGAGCAUCCUGCAGGACAGCGCGCUUCGGGACUUGCCGCGUAUACAUGCCUUCCAGCAUGUCCAUUUAGCUGCUGCACAGGGAGAGAAGGACCACCCGGGAACCCAACAGGAUCUCUGGCAACAGGAUAGCAGCCUUGGAAGAAAGCGAGCUUUCCACCCCUGGAAGUGGCCAGGCAGACAUGAGCCCGGUCUUGGAAGGGUUCCUGCACUGGGUACGCACAUUAUACUAACAAGAGUAAGUGGCUGGCUCCCUCCCUUGACACUCCCAGAACAAUACAGUGUCCCAGGCGCGAUCCCAAAUACUCUGCAGGGACCUUCCACGGCACUCACAGAACUCUGA